UGAACGCUGGCGGCGUGCCUAAUACAUGCACGUCGCGCGAACAGACGUGGAGCUUGCUCCUCUGACGUUAGCGGCGGACGGGUGAGUAACACGUGGAUAACCUACCUAUAAGACUGGGAUAACUUCGGGAAACCGGAGCUAAUACCGGAUAAUAUAUUGAACCGCAUGGUUCAAUAGUGAAAGACGGUUUUGCUGUCACUUAUAGAUGGAUCCGCGCCGCAUUAGCUAGUUGGUAAGGUAACGGCUUACCAAGGCAACGAUGCGUAGCCGACCUGAGAGGGUGAUCGGCCACACUGGAACUGAGACACGGUCCAGACUCCUACGGGAGGCAGCAGUAGGGAAUCUUCCGCAAUGGGCGAAAGCCUGACGGAGCAACGCCGCGUGAGUGAUGAAGGUCUUCGGAUCGUAAAACUCUGUUAUUAGGGAAGAACAAAUGUGUAUGUAACUAUGCACGUCUUGACGGUACCUAAUCAGAAAGCCACGGCUAACUACGUG
Molecule: ribosomal RNA, 495 nt
Filed under: uncultured bacterium
Lineage: Bacteria
Description: partial 16S ribosomal RNA
Rfam family: Bacterial small subunit ribosomal RNA
Source: RNAcentral